RNAcentral lists this ribosomal RNA (253 nucleotides) under uncultured bacterium. Its description in RNAcentral is "partial 16S ribosomal RNA". It matches the Rfam family "Bacterial small subunit ribosomal RNA", at positions 524 to 776 of the family's 1533-position model. The record is from RNAcentral.
UACGUAGGGUGCAAGCGUUAUCCGGAAUGAUUGGGCGUAAAGCGUCCGCAGGUGGCAGUUCAAGUCUGCUGUCAAAGACCGGGGCUUAACUUCGGAAAGGCAGUGGAAACUGAACAGCUAGAGUAUGGUAGGGGCAGAGGGAAUUCCUGGUGUAGCGGUGAAAUGCGUAGAGAUCAGGAAGAACAUCGGUGGCGAAGGCGCUCUGCUGGACCAUAACUGACACUCAGGGACGAAAGCGAGGGGAGCGAAUGGG